CUACAUGAAGUCGGAGUUGCUAGUAAUCGCGGAUCAGAAUGCCGCGGUGAAUGCGUUCCCGGGUCUUGUACACACCGCCCGUCACACCAUGGAAGUUGGGGCGCCCGAAGUUGCCUAAGAAAUAAGGUACCUAAGGCGAAACCAAUGACUGGGGUGAAGUCGUAACAAGGUACC
This 174-nucleotide ribosomal RNA is filed under the name uncultured bacterium. Its description in RNAcentral is "partial 16S ribosomal RNA". It matches the Rfam family "Bacterial small subunit ribosomal RNA", at positions 1316 to 1500 of the family's 1533-position model. The record is from RNAcentral.